Molecule: non-coding RNA, 462 nt
Organism: Aegilops tauschii subsp. strangulata
Lineage: Eukaryota; Viridiplantae; Streptophyta; Magnoliopsida; Poales; Poaceae
Source: RefSeq, a predicted model, not a curated record
CAGGACCGCACCACGAAAGAGCGGGAGAUGCCGAGCUACAUCAGGAUGCCGUUCCCUCUGACGCCUCUCGCGUCUCUCUUUUCUGCCCUUGCUUCGAUUCGAUUCGAUUUGGAUGUUGCGUUGUUCUUACUCAUGAAGGUCCGAUUUGCUUUACUUCCUGAUACGGUCACGCAGGUCGCUGUUAAGGCCUCGAGUUGGCUGCGACCAAGCACGGCCUCUAGCUCGCCCUGCACCGCGAUUGCAGUCGCGCGGCUGAUGACCACGGGCUGCUCCACGCACGGACGACAAGCACAGCAUCCGCGAUCAAGGAGAACCUGAGAUGCAACAUCAACGUGGUGGUCAUAUAUCAGAAAGGCAAGUUCUUAUGAAUGAAAGGUCAAGAUCUCCGGCGGCAGGCCAACGGGCACCAUCUCGAGCCAUCGAACCUGCAUGAGAGACAAGAAACACAAGGUCCAUUAUGAG